Ornithodoros turicata is the source of this 1075-nucleotide long non-coding RNA. RefSeq lists it as uncharacterized. The record is from RefSeq and is a predicted model, not a curated record. Lineage: Eukaryota; Metazoa; Arthropoda; Arachnida; Ixodida; Argasidae. The transcript is spliced from 3 exons.
CUGAAUGAGCGGACAUAAAUAAUUCGACUCAACGCAUUCGAACGUUUGAGACCACGUGACCUCCAUGAGGGUGUAUAGUGUUCGCGCUUCUUAGCUUGGGUUGCGUUACCGUUGCCAAGGCGUCUGAUUCUACGUUGUAUCAACGUCGUAACAGCAGCAUCGUCAACAUCAACCCAGAAGCAGUUCCUGAACCGAGCCUUCGCCAGUGGCGGCCAAUUUCCUCACCCAUCACCGGAGGGGGGCGCUGCCCUGCUAUACACGGGGUACAGGGUGUGUCUCUGCCCCAUUCCUACCAUCCGUGGCGCCCAGGGGAAGACCCUUGUGCUGGUUCGUGACGUGGAGAAAACCACCGUGAACGAUUUUCCCCUCCCAGCUCCGAUCGCAUCAGAGCCGUGCGCUGCUUGAGGGCAAGCCAGCCCUAGCUUGGCUAACAUCUCUAUCAACCCAUAAUGAAGAAGAAGAAGAAGAAGCGUACACUUCCAUGAGCCAUGGAGCACGCAGCGGCUUCAGGAUACUAUCUCGCAAGUUCAGCUUUGUUGGAGACGGGCCUCGACUCUCCAUCGAGCUUUGGACCAUAAUAGAUUGUAUGUCGUUCACGCGAAUUUGGAUGAUCUGAUUGACGCGAUCGCGAAAUUUAAGUGCGCGCGAAAUAUUUUUUGCGCCAGUGGCCUAUCAAAACCCGAAAAUAUUUUCCACGCGAAAAAAAAAAAAAAAAUCCACUUAUACAGUAUGUAUAAAAACACAGCUGAUCCGCACUUCACGUUCAACGAGUUCGAGAGAAACGAAAACGUGUGUUACCGACUUCGUCGCCUUCUAUAACUACAAAACGGGGAAGAUCCGGCUCCAUUCGCUGCGGUGAAGCUGCCGACAGAGACUGAAGGAUUCUGAGGUUUCAAAGAGCGCGACUGUUCUGUUCCAUGUCACAUCUGGCAUAUACGAGGAGAUUCUCGCGUAUGAACUUACGCAAUGAAUGUCCGUACACGAUAAGAACGUACACGCGAGCAUGAAUGUGAUUAAUCGCUGCGUUGAUUACGUGAUCAGAAACAGCGCCCUUGACAGUGCGAAAAAAAAAAAC